Calidris pugnax (ruff) is the source of this 553-nucleotide long non-coding RNA. RefSeq lists it as uncharacterized. Lineage: Eukaryota; Metazoa; Chordata; Aves; Charadriiformes; Scolopacidae. The record is from RefSeq and is a predicted model, not a curated record. The transcript is spliced from 3 exons.
CUGCAAGGGACAACAGAAGAGAACAUGUGGGCUCGAGUCUGUGGUGGAGAAGGGAAUAUUAAACCAGGGUCUCCCCGCUCCUGAGGGCAGUAGCUCACCCAGCACUAAUGGGAACACUGCACUGCUUGUGACUCUCCACCUCCAGCUGAAAAAGACUUGUUUGCUGCUCAGUUUCUGAAAGAAAGAUGCUGGCACCUUUCCCCUCUGGAGAACGGAUGGAGGGCAAAUGCAUCCCUGCUCAUGUCCUCAAACUUCUUGGAAGUACCUAGAGAAAGAGUGUGCGUGCCUCUAGCUUCAGUGUAGAUCUGAGAACAGGCAAGAAGACAAUCAAGGAUGAAGCUGGAGAAGUUCUACCUCAACAAAAUACGAAGCUGCCUCUUCUGUCAGUUGUACUUACAUUUUCCUGCUUUUAUGCUGAUAAAAUUCCACUGACGUCAGCUGUACCAAACCUUCAUGCUGGAUAAACGUGGGAGCAAGAAGAGAAUCGGGGUCAUACACAACAAACAAAUGUCAAUCAUCAGGGAAUAAGUGGGGUCCUUAGCCCGCUCAGAGG